AGUGAACGCUGGCGGUAGGCCUAACACAUGCAAGUCGAACGGCAGCACAGUAAGAGCUUGCUCUUACGGGUGGCGAGUGGCGGACGGGUGAGGAAUAAAUCGGAAUCUACUUUUUCGUGGGGGAUAACGUAGGGAAACUUACGCUAAUACCGCAUACGACCUACGGGUGAAAGCAGGGGAUCUUCGGACCUUGCGCGAUUGAAUGAGCCGAUGUCGGAUUAGCUAGUUGGCGGGGUAAAGGCCCACCAAGGCGACGAUCCGUAGCUGGUCUGAGAGGAUGAUCAGCCACACUGGAACUGAGACACGGUCCAGACUCCUACGGGAGGCAGCAGUGGGGAAUAUUGGACAAUGGGCACAAGCCUGAUCCAGCCAUACCGCGUGGGUGAAGAAGGCCUUCGGGUUGUAAAGCCCUUUUGUUGGGAAAGAAAAGCAGCAGGUUAAUACCCCGCUGUUCUGACGGUACCCAAAGAAUAAGCACCGGCUAACUUCGUG
Molecule: ribosomal RNA, 492 nt
Filed under: uncultured bacterium
Lineage: Bacteria
Description: partial 16S ribosomal RNA
Rfam family: Bacterial small subunit ribosomal RNA
Source: RNAcentral